Molecule: ribosomal RNA, 504 nt
Filed under: uncultured bacterium
Lineage: Bacteria
Description: bacterial SSU rRNA
Rfam family: Bacterial small subunit ribosomal RNA
Source: RNAcentral
CCUACGGGAGGCAGCAGUAGGGAAUAUUGGGCAAUGGAGGCAACUCUGACCCAGCCAUGCCGCGUGCAGGAUGAAGGCGUUAUGCGUUGUAAACUGCUUUUAUAUAGGAAGAAAGAGUUCUUGCGAGAACAGUUGACGGUACUAUAUGAAUAAGCACCGGCUAACUCCGUGCCAGCAGCCGCGGUAAUACGGAGGGUGCAAGCGUUGUCCGGAUUUAUUGGGUUUAAAGGGUGCGUAGGCGGUUUAUUAAGUCAGUGGUGAAAGACGGUCGCUCAACGAUUGCAGUGCCAUUGAUACUGGUAGACUUGAGUGAGAUUGAGGUAGCUGGAAUGGAUAGUGUAGCGGUGAAAUGCAUAGAUAUUAUCCAGAACACCAAUUGCGUAGGCAAGUUACUAAGUCUCAAACUGACGCUGAGCACGAAGUAGUGGUAGUACAACAGAGUAGUAUACCUACGUAGUCACACUAGUAACGUAUANAUAACUAACUAGUUGUCGUUCGGUUCGU